Molecule: ribosomal RNA, 606 nt
Filed under: Natronomonas pharaonis
Lineage: Archaea; Methanobacteriati; Methanobacteriota; Halobacteria; Halobacteriales; Natronomonadaceae
Description: bacterial SSU rRNA
Rfam family: Archaeal small subunit ribosomal RNA
Source: RNAcentral
GCUUACGAGUGGGCGUCCGGCGAAAACUGCUCGGCUUGGGACCGGAAGAUCCAAGGGGUACGUCCGGGGUAGGAGUGAAAUCCCGUAAUCCUGGACGGACCACCGAUGGCGAAAGCACCUUGGAAGGACGGAUCCGACAGUGAGGGACGAAAGCUAGGGUCUCGAACCGGAUUAGAUACCCGGGUAGUCCUAGCCGUAAACGAUGCUCGCUAGGUGUGGCGCAGGCUACGAGCCUGCGCUGUGCCGUAGGGAAGCCGUGAAGCGAGCCGCCUGGGAAGUACGUCUGCAAGGAUGAAACUUAAAGGAAUUGGCGGGGGAGCACUACAACCGGAGGAGCCUGCGGUUUAAUUGGACUCAACGCCGGACAUCUCACCAGCUCCGACAGCAGUAAUGACGGUCAGGUUGAUGACCUUACCCGACGCUGCUGAGAGGAGGUGCAUGGCCGCCGUCAGCUCGUACCGUGAGGCGUCCUGUUAAGUCAGGCAACGAGCGAGACCCGCACCUCUAGUUGCCAGCAGCAUCUCGCGAUGGCUGGGUACACUAGGGGGACUGCCGUCGCUAAGACGGAGGAAGGAACGGGCAACGGUAGGUCCGCAUGCCCCGAAA